Non-coding RNA from Salmo salar (Atlantic salmon), 82 nucleotides. Lineage: Eukaryota; Metazoa; Chordata; Actinopteri; Salmoniformes; Salmonidae. The record is from Rfam.
GCUGUGACGGCCGAGUGGUUAAGGCGUUGGCCUCGAAAUCCAAUGUGGUCUCCCCGCGCAGCUUCGAACCCUGCUCGCAGCG